GAUGAACGCUGGCGGCGUGCUUAACACAUGCAAGUCGAACGGAAAGGCUCCUGCUUGCAGGGGUACUCGAGUGGCGAACGGGUGAGUAACACGUGGGUGAUCUGCCCUUCACUUCGGGAUAAGCCUGGGAAACUGGGUCUACUACCGGGUAGGACCACAUUUUGGAUGGGGUUGUGGAAAGUUUUUCGGUGUGGGAUGAGCUCGCGGCCUAUCAGCUUGUUGGUGGGGUAAUGGCCGACCAAGGCGUCGGCGGGUGGCCGGCCUGAGAGGGGGUACGGCCACCUGGGGACUAGGAGACGGCCCAGAACCCUACGGGGGGCAGCAGGGGGGAAUAUUGCACAAGGGGGGCAAGCCGGAGGCAGAGACGCCCCGGGGGGGAUGACGGCCUUCGGGUGGUAAACUCAUUUCGCUAGGGACGAAGCGCAAGUGACGGUACCUGGAGAAGAAGCACCGGCUAACUACGUG
This 465-nucleotide ribosomal RNA is filed under the name uncultured bacterium. RNAcentral's name for it is "partial 16S ribosomal RNA". It matches the Rfam family "Bacterial small subunit ribosomal RNA", at positions 28 to 507 of the family's 1533-position model. The record is from RNAcentral.